ACGCACGCUGGCGGCGUGCUUAACCCAUGCCAGUCGAACGGAAAGGCCCUGCUUGCAGGGUACUCGAGUGGCGAACGGGUGAGUAACACGUGGGUGAUCUGCCCUGCACUUCGGGAUAAGCCUGGGAAACUGGGUCUAAUACCGGCUAGGAGCCAUUUUUAGUGUGAUGGUUGGAAAGUUUUUUCGGUGUAGGAUGAGCUCGCGGCCUAUCAGCUUGUUGGUGGGGUAAUGGCCUACCAAGGCGGCGACGGGUAGCCGGCCUGAGAGGGUGGACGGCCACAUUGGGACUGAGAUACGGCCCAGACUCCUACGGGAGGCAGCAGUGGGGAAUAUUGCACAAUGGGCGCAAGCCUGAUGCAGCGACGCCGCGUGGGGGAUGACGGCCUUCGGGUUGUAAACUCCUUUCGCUAGGGACGAAGCUUUUUGUGACGGUACCUAGAUAAGAAGCACCGGCUAACUACGUG
This 464-nucleotide ribosomal RNA is filed under the name uncultured bacterium. Its description in RNAcentral is "partial 16S ribosomal RNA". It matches the Rfam family "Bacterial small subunit ribosomal RNA", at positions 29 to 507 of the family's 1533-position model. The record is from RNAcentral.